CAGCAGCCACGGUAAUACAGAGGGUGCGAGCGUUAAUCGGAUUUACUGGGCGUAAAGCGUGCGUAGGCGGCUUUUUAAGUCGGAUGUGAAAUCCCUGAGCUUAACUUAGGAAUUGCAUUCGAUACUGGGAAGCUAGAGUAUGGGAGAGGAUGGUAGAAUUCCAGGUGUAGCGGUGAAAUGCGUAGAGAUCUGGAGGAAUACCGAUGGCGAAGGCAGCCAUCUGGCCUAAUACUGACGCUGAGGUACGAAAGCAUGGGGAGCAAACAGGAUUAGAUACCCGUGUAGUCCCUGUCUCUUAUAC
This 301-nucleotide ribosomal RNA is filed under the name uncultured bacterium. Its description in RNAcentral is "partial 16S ribosomal RNA". It matches the Rfam family "Bacterial small subunit ribosomal RNA", at positions 509 to 807 of the family's 1533-position model. The record is from RNAcentral.